UACGGGGGGGGCAAGCGUUGUUCGGAAGUACUGGGCGUAAAGGGCUCGUAGGCGGCCAACUAAGUCAGACGUGAAAUCCCUCGGCUUAACCGGGGAACUGCAUCUGAUACUGGAUGGCUUGAGAUUGGGAGAGGGAUGCGGAAUUCCAGGUGUAGCGGUGAAAUGCGUAGAUAUCUGGAGGAACACCGGUGGCGAAGGCGGCAUCCUGGACCAACACUGACGCUGAGGAGCGAAAGCCAGGGGAGCAAACGGG
RNAcentral lists this ribosomal RNA (253 nucleotides) under uncultured bacterium. RNAcentral describes it as "partial 16S ribosomal RNA". It matches the Rfam family "Bacterial small subunit ribosomal RNA", at positions 524 to 776 of the family's 1533-position model. The record is from RNAcentral.